This 253-nucleotide ribosomal RNA is filed under the name uncultured bacterium. RNAcentral describes it as "partial 16S ribosomal RNA". It matches the Rfam family "Bacterial small subunit ribosomal RNA", at positions 524 to 776 of the family's 1533-position model. The record is from RNAcentral.
GACAGAGGGUGCAAACGUUGUUCGGAAUUACUGGGCGUAAAGCGCGUGUAGGCGGCUUUGCAAGUCGGGUGUGAAAGCCCUCAGCUCAACUGAGGAAGUGCGCCCGAAACUGCAGAGCUUGAGUGCCGGAGAGGGUGGCGGAAUUCCCCAAGUAGAGGUGAAAUUCGUAGAUAUGGGGAGGAACACCGGUGGCGAAGGCGGCCACCUGGACGGUUACUGACGCUGAGACGCGAAAGCGUGGGGAGCAAACAGG